RNAcentral lists this ribosomal RNA (263 nucleotides) under uncultured bacterium. RNAcentral describes it as "partial 16S ribosomal RNA". It matches the Rfam family "Bacterial small subunit ribosomal RNA", at positions 90 to 354 of the family's 1533-position model. The record is from RNAcentral.
ACUGAGCGGCGACGGGUGAGUAACGCGUGGGCAACCUGCCUUACACAGGGGGAUAACAGUUAGAAAUGACUGCUAAUACCGCAUAAGACCACAGGACUGCAUGGUCCGGUGGUAAAAACUCCGGUGGUGUAAGAUGGGCCCGCGUCUGAUUAGGUAGUUGGCGGGGUAACGGCCCACCAAGCCGACGAUCAGUAGCCGACCUGAGAGGGUGACCGGCCACAUUGGGACUGAGACACGGCCCAGACUCCUACGGGAGGCAGCAG